GAUAAACGCUGGCGGCGUGCCUUAUGCAUGCAAGUCGAACGGUUCUUCAUCUUUCGGGUUGAAGGAUAGUGGCGGACGGGUGAGUAACACGUAAGUAACCUGCCCCUAAGUUCGGAAUAACUCUGAGAAAUUAGAGAUAAUACCGGAUGUGAUGAUGAGGGUAAGGCUUCAUCAUUAAAGCCUUAGGGCGCUUGGGGAGGGGCUUGUGGCCGAUUAGCUAGUUGGUAGGGUAAUAGCUUACCAAGGCGAUGAUCGGUAGCUGGUCUGAGAGGACGAUCAGCCACACUGGGACUGAGACACGGCCCAGACUCCUACGGGAGGCAGCAGCAAGGAAUUUUGUGCGAUGGGCGAAAGCCUGACACAGCAACGCCGCGUGGGGGAUGAAGGCCUUCGGGUCGUAAACCCCUUUUCUCAGGGAAGAAUAAUGACGGUACC
Molecule: ribosomal RNA, 435 nt
Filed under: uncultured bacterium
Lineage: Bacteria
Description: bacterial SSU rRNA
Rfam family: Bacterial small subunit ribosomal RNA
Source: RNAcentral